CCUACGGGAGGCUGCAGUGGGGAAUAUUGGACAAUGGGGGCAACCCUGAUCCAGCCAUGCCGCGUGUGUGAAGAAGGCCCUCGGGUUGUAAAGCACUUUCAGUGAGGAAGAACGCCUGGUGGUUAAUACCCAUCAGGAAAGACAUCACUCACAGAAGAAGCACCGGCUAACUCCGUGCCAGCAGCCGCGGUAAUACGGAGGGUGCGAGCGUUAAUCGGAAUUACUGGGCGUAAAGCCCGCGUAGGUGGCUUGAUAAGCCGGUUGUGAAAGCCCCGGGCUCAACCUGGGAACGGCAUCCGGAACUGUCAAGCUAGAGUGCAGGAGAGGAAGGUAGAAUUCCCGGUGUAGCGGUGAAAUGCGUAGAGAUCGGGAGGAAUACCAGUGGCGAAGGCGGCCUUCUGGACUGACACUGACACUGAGGUGCGAAAGCGUGGGUAGCAAACAGGAUUAGAUACCCCUGUAGUC
This 465-nucleotide ribosomal RNA is filed under the name Vreelandella stevensii. Its description in RNAcentral is "partial 16S ribosomal RNA". It matches the Rfam family "Bacterial small subunit ribosomal RNA", at positions 338 to 795 of the family's 1533-position model. The record is from RNAcentral. Lineage: Bacteria; Pseudomonadati; Pseudomonadota; Gammaproteobacteria; Oceanospirillales; Halomonadaceae.